GCAACCUUCGACUGCCCGAUGAAGACCUAUGGCUUCCUCACGCCUGAAUUUUGGAGCCAUACCAAGUUUUCCAUGACUCCGUUCCAUCAAUACACGGACCUGCUGGCGAAGGCUACCAAGGGUCUUGUGCUUUAGGCCUGAACUGAGACAGUAGAGCCUUAUGAUGGUUUGAUGUGUCUAAAUGCACUUUCUUAUAUUUAAGAACUAUGGGAGUCAACUUUGGACCCUGUUUGCUGGCCGCUUUGAUGAUUUUGCCUUUUGGUCUAUGACAUGUCUGAUAGUCAAAUGAAGCUUUUAUUUCAAGCCCUGUUGUUGAGAGUGUUGUAGAGGAGCAACGGUGCCAGGACGCGUCAAGGUUGCUCCAGAAUAAAUGGAUCAUAGUGCGGUGGUCAUGGGAUUGGAAUCUGCUCUGUAUUUACAGGGUGAAGCCUUCGUGUCUCCUCACGGGAAAGUCACUGACCUUUCUUGGGACGUGGACCACUGAUGGCCCCUGUCAUUCCCCAUGACGGCGAUCCCAUGGGAAGCGAUAAUUGAUCCUGCAGCAAUUUUUGAACAGUUAGAAAAGAGAAAAUUGAUCCCCCAAGCAUUAGCAGCAAAAAGGUUUCUGGAACAGAAAAUUAUAGUAUUGAUGCUAAGGAUGCUAAAUAGAGAAUUCUGAUAGGAUGCUAAAUAGAGAAUUCUGAAGACGGCUUCACCUAAAGUGUGGAAACUAGAGACUAAAGAGAUCAGACCCAACAAAGAAAAAAGCGACACUGCAAGGAGGCCAAAGCCUACGCCGUGACCCCCUCUAGUACCCUGCUAUGGUGCUGUCAGCGCAGCCGCCUCGCAGGUGAGUGCACGUGCGUUGCAUGUGGUAACGCAUGUGCUACUAACCAUACAGAAAAAAAUCGACACUGCAAGGAGGUCAAAGCCUGCGCCAGUGACCCCCUCGAGCACCCUGCUACGGUGCUACAAGCGCAGCCGCCUCGCAAGUUGAUGUUACGGCUGGGCAAAGUAUUGAACCCUGAAGAGAGCCGUGGCAGCACCCCCAAAAUGGCUCCAGUUCAGGCCUUCCAUAGCCAUGGCAGACGCGACAUCUAGGAGCAGAUGCGACAGGAUCAUAAGUAGGAGCGGCAACGAUGCUGUAGCGAGAGACGCGGGUGACGAGGUCGCCGUGCUGCGGUGGUGGUAGGACGGGAAGGAGACGAAAAAGUAGGAGUCAGAGCUGUUCAACAAUGUGAUCGAGUCGCUGAGACGAGGAAGAGCAAGGUGAAGGCACUCGUCGGUGCCUUUGAGACCGACAGACCGUCAUCUCGCUGCAGAAACGAGCAAGCCUCCUGCUGCUCCAGCUAUGGCAGCAGGUGUCGUGCCAUGAGCGCUUCGUGACCUGCAGUUUGCAUGAUCACCUUUCUUGGAAUUUUGGACUUUUUUGUUGUUAGUGACAGUAAAAGUGGCACUUGUUGAGGUUUGCUCGUUCCCAUGUAAACUGAGUUUUCUCAUGGGAGUUUCCAUGCUUUCGUAGUGCUUCCAAAAACCGAAAGUGUGUAUAGAUUUUGUGUUUGUGCAAGGCUUGGCAAGUUGGUAUUGUACUGAUAAGUGAUAAGUAAGCAAGUUACUGUAAUUAUUUAAACUAGAUUAUUUUGAAAGGAA
Molecule: long non-coding RNA, 1629 nt
Organism: Zea mays
Lineage: Eukaryota; Viridiplantae; Streptophyta; Magnoliopsida; Poales; Poaceae
Exons: 8
Source: RefSeq, a predicted model, not a curated record